AUUGAACGCUGGCGGCAUGCUUUACACAUGCAAGUCGAACGGCAGCGGGGAGGAGCUUGCUUCUCUGCCGGCGAGUGGCGAACGGGUGAGUAAUACAUCGGAACGUGUCGAGAAGAGGGGGAUAACCACCCGAAAGGGUGGCUAAUACCGCAUAAAUUCUGAGGAAGAAAGCUGGGGACCUAGGAAUAGGCCUAGCGCUUUUUGAGCGGCCGAUGUCGGAUUAGCUAGUUGGUGAGGUAAAGGCUCACCAAGGCGAAGAUCUGUAGCGGGUCUGAGAGGAGGACCCGCCACACUGGGACUGAGACACGGCCCAGACUCCUACGGGAGGCAGCAGUGGGGAAUUUUGGACAAUGGGGGCAACCCUGAUCCAGCCAUGCCGCGUGUAUGAAGAAGGCCUUAGGGUUGUAAAGUACUUUUGUUAGGGAAGAAAAGUCAGCUGUGAAUAAUGGCUGAUACUGACGGUACCUAAAGAAUAAGCACCGGCUAACUACGUG
Molecule: ribosomal RNA, 494 nt
Filed under: uncultured bacterium
Lineage: Bacteria
Description: partial 16S ribosomal RNA
Rfam family: Bacterial small subunit ribosomal RNA
Source: RNAcentral